This 1005-nucleotide long non-coding RNA is filed under the name Marmota monax (woodchuck). The record is from RNAcentral. Lineage: Eukaryota; Metazoa; Chordata; Mammalia; Rodentia; Sciuridae.
AGCCAGAAUACGCACCUGCUCACUUCUCUUGGGGCACCGGCUGCGGUCUCCUGGACGGCCUUAGAGGUAACGUUGCAAAGGGGACUUUCCCCUUUUGGACGAUCCGCUGUCCUGAAUUCACAAGCGAUCAUCGAGCAUGAGGGUGCACAUUGUCCCCUCCCUCCGCCGAGGUUUGCAGCAGCUUCCCAACGCAAGGGGGUCCCUGGGCCCAAGGGGCCCAAGAAUGGGCACAGCCUUUACUAUCCUCCUCCGCCCGCACAGAACCCUCCUCCCAAGGCCGUGCUGCCUGGAGGAGCCAGGCUGGCCACUCGGCGCUCUGUAGAGGGACACAUUUGUACUGUCAAGGACAAGAGCCACUGGCAGCCCGGCCCACAGCUGACCCCUCUGCAUCAUCAGGGAGAGAAGUGGUCUUUAAAAGGCCCUGUGGGGGUUGAGUCUCUGAGCCAGGACUGUUGGUGAGGUCACUGCUUGGCCGGGCUCCACCCGGAGAUCGCGUGGUUUCCUCUGCUCUCCAGGCCUGCCUGGAAGGCUGCAGGGAGGGUCUGGGUUUCUCUUGCUGCCCACACCUGGGCAGGAGCCCAGCCAAGCAGAGAAGGGUCCCCAGGGAGACUCCUUCCCGACCAGCCCCAUCCCAGCCCGACACCAUGUGACUCCCAGGAGCUGGCUGACACAGAGCAGGAGACACCCACAGGCUCUGGGCGGCAGGAGCCCACAGCCAGCCAGGACAGCCCUGAGACCCAGGGUCCAAGCAGGCAAGGAUUCGGAACGGUGAGCACAAGGACAGCACUGGUCAGGUGGGGGUUGGGGGCCCGCCCAGAAGCUUGGCAUCUUUCUCCUGUCUGAGCUCUUCUGCUGACCUAACGGGGGAAGGCACAGUGGCCAGCAGUGGCCUGACUGUCCAGAGAGCGUCUGUCCAGCCAUACUUCACCCUCUGAUUUGGGCUGAGCCGCCUGGCCUGUGGCCAGCUCGUGGCCACUUUCCCUGUGUCGCAUGCUACUCUGUCAG